Molecule: long non-coding RNA, 1516 nt
Filed under: Homo sapiens (human)
Lineage: Eukaryota; Metazoa; Chordata; Mammalia; Primates; Hominidae
Description: HSALNT0371900
Source: RNAcentral
CCCGGAAAGACGGGCCCCGCCCCGACUCCCUCGGCGAAGAGGCCCCCGCGGCCGGCCGAGCUCCGUGGACUCCGCAGGAGCGGCCCCGCCCCUCACACUACGCCGGGCGGUUCCCUCCGAGCCCCGCCGGGACAGCGUCGACGCUGCACACACCCCAGAGAAGCCAGAGGACGGCGCCUGCACCGGACACAGCGCAACACCGGCACAGCACAGCGUCCACACCACAAGUGAGCCUAGGCAGCUGUGUCUACACUGCAGACGCCGGCCUGAGCGCACGCGUCUUCAUGCAGGCUCAGCAGAGGGGGAAGAACACCUCCCCGAGGGUGGAAGAGCUGUGGCCAGCAGACAGAUGGACGGACAGACGGACACAGGCGAACAGGCAGCGCAGGGGUGAGCCGAGCCGGUCAAAUGGGCCAGGACCCGGCUCCGUGUGCCCUUCACAGUCAGGAUGACAGAACCCCGUGGAAUAUGAAAAAUGCCGGGAGACAGACCCCGGAGGCACAGCCCCUCACCGGGCAGGGAGGCCGCCAGAGGGAAGCGCAGCUCCAGACCACCAGAGCCCCAUCUGAUUAAGGCAUCGAGAUCAAAGCUCAGCAGAGGGCGGCUCAUGAUGGGCAGCUCAAAAAAAUAAACCCACCAAUCAGAGUCCGUGUUCCUGUGACCGGUGGCGGGUUCGGAUGCAGAGGAGGCUUCUCAGUGCGGUUCCUCCUCAUCUCGGAACCUGCCACCCCACUCAAGCCCGACAUAGGCCAGGACAGCCAGGACGGCCGCAGCGAGGGCAACACGAGGCCCGUCGACAUCCUGAGGCCCCCGGGCCUGUCGCCGAGUCCCGGCUUGGGGAGUGUCCCCGGGCCACACUGGUCCUGCUCCCGGCUGUGUGGUCUCCCAGGCGCGUGGCUCCUCCCUCCGGGGCCCAGGCUCUGGUGUGAGCCACUUUUUCCAUAGGAGACGCCCAUACUUGCAGCUCACGCCUUUGUCUGGUGCCCUGGCCUCACACCUAUAGGAAUUGGGUACCUGGGGGCCUCUUCAUCUUUACUUGUCUCAGCUUAGAGAAGCCCAGCUACACUUCCUCCAUGCCUGGAUUCAUGCACGGCCCCACAGGGUGAGGCCUGGACACCCUCACGGGCACUGGGGCUCCACGGAUGCAGAAGGCAGCCUGGCCCGGUAGCUCGGGGGUCUGAGAUGGAGGUGGAGUAAGACAGAGUGACAAAGGCUGCGUCCUGGAGGCAGGCUCGGAGCCUCCCUGAGCUCAGAGAGCCCGCGUGCGCCAGGAAGCCACACCUGCAGGACCCGAGUCGGAACUCAGAGGCUGGUACAGCCGCGGUGCUUGUCCUGUAGAUAAGAAUGGCCUCCUCUGGCGGCCAAAGUUAAUUAAACUGACAAUCUUGAUAAGUUGCACAGUUACCUGCUCGGGGACAAAGAAGAUGGGAGCCUUGUUUGUGGUUUCUUCUUGUUCUUUCCUGUGCCCCACAGUCAUUUUAAAAUUAAAUUAAAUGGCUUAUCUGCACUAACCCAA